GCCUCUGCUUUUAUCCUUCCACAGCUUUCUUGAACUGCAUAUAUAUAUAUAUGCGAAUUAGGGUUUUUGUAUUAUAAUUGUGUGCGGUUCAAUAAAGCUGUGGGAAGAUACAAUCAGGGC
This 120-nucleotide microRNA precursor is filed under the name Linum usitatissimum (flax). RNAcentral describes it as "miR396c stem-loop (lus-MIR396c)". Its record names the gene lus-MIR396c. It matches the Rfam family "MIR396 microRNA precursor family". The record is from miRBase by way of RNAcentral. Lineage: Eukaryota; Viridiplantae; Streptophyta; Magnoliopsida; Malpighiales; Linaceae.